AGCCUCUAAGCAUCAGGUAACAUCAAAUCGUACCCCAAACCGACACAGGUGGUCAGGUAGAGAAUACCAAGGCGCUUGAGAGAACUCGGGUGAAGGAACUAGGCAAAAUGGUGCCGUAACUUCGGGAGAAGGCACGCUGACACGUAGGUGAAGUGAUUUACUCACGGAGCUGAAGUCAGCCGAAGAUACCAGCUGGCUGCAACUGUUUAUUAAAAACACAGCACUGUGCAAACACGAAAGUGGACGUAUACGGUGUGACGCCUGCCCGGUGCCGGAAGGUUAAUUGAUGGGGUCAGCGCAAGCGAAGCUCCUGAUCGAAGCCCCGGUAAACGGCGGCCGUAACUAUAACGGUCCUAAGGUAGCGAAAUUCCUUGUCGGGUAAGUUCCGACCUGCACGAAUGGCGUAAUGAUGGCCAGGCUGUCUCCACCCGAGACUCAGUGAAAUUGAACUCGCUGUGAAGAUGCAGUGUACCCGCGGCAAGACGGAAAGACCCCGUGAACCUUUACUAUAGCUUGACACUGAACAUUGAGCCUUGAUGUGUAGGAUAGGUGGGAGGCUUUGAAGUGUGGACGCCAGUCUGCAUGGAGCCGACCUUGAAAUACCACCCUUUAAUGUUUGAUGUUCUAACGUGGACCCGUGAUCCGGGUUGCGGACAGUGUCUGGUGGGUAGUUUGACUGGGGCGGUCUCCUCCUAAAGAGUAACGGAGGAGCACGAAGGUUGGCUAAUCCUGGUCGGACAUCAGGAGGUUAGUGCAAUGGCAUAAGCCAGCUUGACUGCGAGCGUGACGGCGCGAGCAGGUGCGAAAGCAGGUCAUAGUGAUCCGGUGGUUCUGAAUGGAAGGGCCAUCGCUCAACGGAUAAAAGGUACUCCGGGGAUAACAGGCUGAUACCGCCCAAGAGUUCAUAUCGACGGCGGUGUUUGGCACCUCGAUGUCGGCUCAUCACAUCCUGGGGCUGAAGUAGGUCCCAAGGGUAUGGCUGUUCGCCAUUUAAAGUGGUACGCGAGCUGGGUUUAGAACGUCGUGAGACAGUUCGGUCCCUAUCUGCCGUGGGCGCUGGAGAACUGAGGGGGGCUGCUCCUAGUACGAGAGGACCGGAGUGGACGCAUCACUGGUGUUCGGGUUGUCAUGCCAAUGGCACUGCCCGGUAGCUAAAUGCGGAAGAGAUAAGUGCUGAAAGCAUCUAAGCACGAAACUUGCCCCGAGAUGAGUUCUCCCUGAGACUUUAGGUCUCCUGAAGGAACGUUGAAGACGACGACGUUGAUAGGCCGGGUGUGUAAGCGCAGCGAUGCGUUGAGCUAACCGGUACUAAUGAACCGUGAGGCUUAACCUUACAACGCCGAAG
RNAcentral lists this ribosomal RNA (1345 nucleotides) under Salmonella enterica. Its description in RNAcentral is "partial 23S ribosomal RNA". It matches the Rfam family "Bacterial large subunit ribosomal RNA", at positions 1616 to 2925 of the family's 2925-position model. The record is from RNAcentral. Lineage: Bacteria; Pseudomonadati; Pseudomonadota; Gammaproteobacteria; Enterobacterales; Enterobacteriaceae.